GACGAACGCUGGCGGCGUGCCUAAUACAUGCAAGUUGAGCGCUGAAGGUUGGUACUUGUACCAACUGGAUGAGCAGCGAACGGGUGAGUAACGCGUGGGGAAUCCGCCUUUGAGCGGGGGACAACAUUUGGAAACGAAUGCUAAUACCGCAUAAAAACUUUAAACACAAGUUUUAAGUUUGAAAGAUGCAAUUGCAUCACUCAAAGAUGAUCCCGCGUUGUAUUAGCUAGUUGGUGAGGUAAAGGCUCACCAAGGCGAUGAUACAUAGCCGACCUGAGAGGGUGAGCGGCCACACUGGGACGGAGACACGGCCCAAACCCCUACGGGAGGCAGCAGUAGGGAAUCUUCGGCGAUGGACGAAAGUCUGACCGAGCAACGCCGCGUGAGUGCAGGAGGUUUUCGGAUCGUAAAACUCUGUUGGUAGAGAAGAACGUUGGUGAGAGUGGAAAGCUCAUCAAGUGACGGUAACUACCCAGAAAGGGACGGCUAACUACGUG
This 497-nucleotide ribosomal RNA is filed under the name uncultured bacterium. Its description in RNAcentral is "partial 16S ribosomal RNA". It matches the Rfam family "Bacterial small subunit ribosomal RNA", at positions 28 to 507 of the family's 1533-position model. The record is from RNAcentral.